UGUCAGCAUUUCUUCUGCUGGAUCGGAGCUCUGCCUGCACAGACUCUUCUCCCCACACAGCAAUAAGAUCAAUCAUCUCCUGUGUACUCCAUGCUGGAGCGUGUUUGUGGCCUUGAGUCUCGAUGAUCAGCUGUGCUGGAAAGCUCUCCAUGCUGAUCAAACAGGAAAUGAAAAAUGCAAAGUUCAUGGAGCU
Long non-coding RNA from Dermochelys coriacea (leatherback sea turtle), 193 nucleotides. RefSeq lists it as uncharacterized. The transcript has 3 exons. NCBI's taxonomy places the organism in Eukaryota, Metazoa, Chordata, Testudines, Dermochelyidae. The record is from RefSeq and is a predicted model, not a curated record.